CCUACGGGGGGCUGCAGUGGGGAAUAUUGGACAAUGGGGGCAACCCUGAUCCAGCCAUGCUGCGUGUGUGAAGAAGGCCCUCGGGUUGUAAAGCACUUUCAGUGAGGAAGAACGCCUGGUGGUUAAUACCCAUCAGGAAAGACAUCACUCACAGAAGAAGCACCGGCUAACUCCGUGCCAGCAGCCGCGGUAAUACGGAGGGUGCGAGCGUUAAUCGGAAUUACUGGGCGUAAAGCGCGCGUAGGUGGCUUGAUAAGCCGGUUGUGAAAGCCCCGGGCUCAACCUGGGAACGGCAUCCGGAACUGUCAAGCUAGAGUGCAGGAGAGGAAGGUAGAAUUCCCGGUGUAGCGGUGAAAUGCGUAGAGAUCGGGAGGAAUACCAGUGGCGAAGGCGGCCUUCUGGACUGACACUGACACUGAGGUGCGAAAGCGUGGGUAGCAAACAGGAUUAGAUACCCUUGUAGUC
Molecule: ribosomal RNA, 465 nt
Filed under: Vreelandella stevensii
Lineage: Bacteria; Pseudomonadati; Pseudomonadota; Gammaproteobacteria; Oceanospirillales; Halomonadaceae
Description: partial 16S ribosomal RNA
Rfam family: Bacterial small subunit ribosomal RNA
Source: RNAcentral